Long non-coding RNA from Pseudoliparis swirei, 890 nucleotides. RefSeq lists it as uncharacterized. NCBI's taxonomy places the organism in Eukaryota, Metazoa, Chordata, Actinopteri, Perciformes, Liparidae. The transcript is spliced from 2 exons. The record is from RefSeq and is a predicted model, not a curated record.
UGUGUCACGGUUAGGGAUGGGCAUCGAGAACCGGUUCUGUUUUAGAACCGGUUCCCAGUGAACCGAUUGUUUGGGAUCGUUAGCCAAAUUCUUUAACGGUUCUGCUAACGGUCCUCUGUGGCGUUGCGCAUGCGCAAACUUUUUUAGUUUCUUCAGACUGCAGCAAACAUGGCAACGAGGCAGAAGCGCUCUAAAGUUUGGCUCUAUUUCACAAGACAAAAUGACAACUACGCCACUUGUAACGUGUGUAAAAAGUCUAUUUCGUCGAAGGGAGGAAAUACAACUAAUAUGAAGAAGCAUUUGAACACGCAUGGAAUUAAAUGACAGGAAUGUCAUGUGUUCGAUGCAGCAGCUCAGCUAACGUCGGCGCUUCAUCUCUUUCUGUCCAAGCUGAUGAGGUUCAGAGUCAGACCGGUUCAGAGGCUGGUCGUCUGUCUGGGUCGCAGGCUACAGCUAGCACGUCUUGUACACCUCCUCAUAUCUUUGUGUUCAUCCUCCACCCCAUCUGAGAGAGUGUUCUCCACGGCUGGAGACACAAUAAGUCCUGAGAGAUCGCGUAUCCUCCCGGAGAAAGCAGACAUGCUUAUUUUUCUGCACAAGAAUUGUUGAUGAUCCAUACAAUUGAUGGUUGGACACUUGGUAUUUGCCACUGCUAGUUUCAUUUUUGGCAGCUCAGUUCAUAUACCCUUUAAAAAAAAGGAAGGAGCACUGUAAUUUCUAGGAACAUGUUUAAAUUAAACAGAAUACAUUUUAUUUAAGUUAUGUAAGUUUUAUUUUAAGUUCAAGAGUAAUAUCGUAUAAAUGUUUUUGGUUAUUUAAAAAAAGUAAAUGUGUAUGUAUACAUACUGUGUGUGUGCAGCAUUAUAUAAAAGAAAAUUAAUGUGAAUAAA